RNAcentral lists this ribosomal RNA (446 nucleotides) under uncultured bacterium. Its description in RNAcentral is "partial 16S ribosomal RNA". It matches the Rfam family "Bacterial small subunit ribosomal RNA", at positions 338 to 795 of the family's 1533-position model. The record is from RNAcentral.
CCUACGGGGGACUGCAGUCGAGAAUCAUUCACAAUGGGGGAAACCCUGAUGGUGCGACGCCGCGUGGGGGAAUGAAGGUCUUCGGAUUGUAAACCCCUGUCAUGUGGGAGCAAAUUAAAAAGAUAGUACCACAAGAGGAAGAGACGGCUAACUCUGUGCCAGCAGCCGCGGUAAUACAGAGGUCUCAAGCGUUGUUCGGAAUAACUGGGCGUAAGGCGUGCGUAGGCGGUUUCGUAAGUCGUGUGUGAAAGGCGCGGGCUCAACCCGCGGACGGCACAUGAUACUGCGAGACUAGAGUAAUGGAGGGGGAACCGGAAUUCCCGGUGUAGCAGUGAAAUGCGUAGAUAUCGAGAGGAACACUCGUGGCGAAGGCGGGUUCCUGGACAGUAACUGACGCUGAGGCACGAAGGCCAGGGGAGCGAAAGGGAUUAGAUACCCUAGUAGUC